GGUUUGCAAACUCAUAUAUAUAACGCCCAAGACCUCCCUACAGAACCAAUGUGAGACGCAUCAAAUACACAUUUGGUAAAGAAUAAGGAAACUUUGCCUAGUUGGCGCAAUCAACAUACAGGAAUGCAGUAAUAUGUUGCAAACAUGAUUAUUAAUAAUUUGAUACCCCAUGCUAACUUAGCAUUUGAACUAAAAAAGUAUCCAUAUGAAAUAAGCUUACUAAAUGCAGAUAGGUUAAACACUAACUAAACAAAAGUAGCAUAAUAUUUGUUUUCUCCCAUUAUGAUCAAUCAUUUUCUGGUUAUGUGGAUUCAUAGAUCUGCAUUGGCAAAAUUCUACCGUAUUUCUACAUGUGCUUUCUCAAGAAAUUGCAAAUCAUAAUUGAUAAAGAAGCUCACAAUUAACAAACGUGAAAGAAAAUCUUUUUGAAAUUCUGAUAGUAGACAAGAAUUUCACGGUUACGAAAUUAUACAGGAAUAUAACAAUUUUAUAUACUGCAAGAAUAUGAGAAGCAACUAUUAUGUCGUUAUUUUCUUUCAUUAUUCCCCAACAGUAAGUGGAUUAAAACAAUAUAUUGACUACAUCAGCAUAUACAUUCACAGGAACACAAAGCCUCUAUGGAGUAAGUCAAAACCUGUUUGAGACAUGAAAUAGACAGAUGAAGGCAACAUGAAACAAUCACAUACAUAUAUAUGAAUGCAGCUACAUAGUUUUUCCAACAACAUAUCAAAAAUAAUUAAAUGUAUAACCUUGGUACCUUUGGGAUUUUACCAUUUAACCU
Molecule: unclassified non-coding RNA, 781 nt
Filed under: Hevea brasiliensis (rubber tree)
Lineage: Eukaryota; Viridiplantae; Streptophyta; Magnoliopsida; Malpighiales; Euphorbiaceae
Source: RNAcentral